UGAUAGAGCAGAUAAAAUGCUGGUCCCGGGGGGGGGGGGAAAAAAGAGUGAACAAAAUUCACGUUUAAGGACCUCUGGUACAUGGACGCGGAUCAGAGCCGUCGAUACAGACGUAGCGUUCGAUGAAAAGUCAGUUCGAGGACACAGGCGCUAUUUGGUAAAACUGAUCGAACGGGCGAAAGCGAGCGAGGCGAGUGGAGAGUACUCAGAAAGAUUGCAGCGACGCUGAAGAGUAAUUACGUACAUCAAGAGGGAGACAGCCCCUUUUUACAGACACGUGAAAGGGACACAAAAGGCCCUCGUCGGACAUUGUAAUCGUUGAUUACGCUCACUGUACGUGCAGAGAUAAAAUGAAGGGGAGGUGCGUCCACGUUACUUGGAAGUCUAUACAUUUUCCACAAGAUCCCGGAGUAGUAGUGGCAGUAACAGUUGGGAAAAGCGUGGCGAGCUUAGUAAACAAAUGAACGAGAAGACCCGAGUUCAAAUCCACCCACGGAUACCGCUGGUUUUUACGGACGCUACCUCUCUCUCGGAGAUAAGUGGCAACUAACCGAGAGUAUCCUGCCACACAUAUCCCUGUCCUCCGAAAAGGGGGUUGGCGAGAGGCUAACAACCCCUCACCGUAAAAAAUAGCAUAGAGAAUAACCGAAGUAGUCUGUUGAAAUUGCCAUAACGCCCUUGCGUUUUUCUUUUGUUCUUCCGAUAAAUCUAGCAGAGAAUAAACCAUGCCGCGUGCCAUGGCUUUGAUGCCAUUUGUCAUUUGAUUAUAUUCCGUUUUCAAGAGGAUUUCAAAAUGUUUAAAAUAAAGCAGGUCAAUCUGAAGCAAUCAUAUAUAUUAGUUGGAAAAGGCGGGGGUGAGGCCAAAGCUGUCACCUAGGGGUCAACUCUGUAUCUUACAAUAAUAGUGAAAAUAAAAGUGAGUGGCUCUAAGGGGACGAUUAGAAAGAGACAAAGCUACUCGCUUUUUUUCACUAUAGUGUAAGAUACAGAAUUGACCCCCUUGAUCUUAAAGCUCCUCUACGACAACAUGACAUUCCAGAGAGUAACUGUGCAAAAUUUAGUCCAGAAAGGGUUUAGAAAUUAAAUAAAGAAAACGCACGGGCGUUCUCUUUUAUACGCGUAGAAAACGGGGAUAAUUAUACAAGGUAUGUCCCAAAAGUAAUGCGUCGCAUUUUUUUUUGACGCGACUAUAUGUCGCAGAGCGGUCAGACCGAUUUGGAUAGGAUGGGGGAAGUUUAAGCUUUCCAACGGUUCCGCGCUGAGUUGUCUCCGUGCCCUGGAUAGGUCACAAUGUGUCUGUUUGUGAGCUCCUGUGUAGAAGUCUCGUCGUACUUACGAUGGAGAAAACUGUAGAGCAAAGAUACGUGAUCAAGUUUUGCGUGAAGCUGAACAAGACGCCGCUGGAAACUUUCGAGAUGCUUCAGCAAGCCUUCGGUGACGAUUGUCUGUCCAGAUCGCGGUCAAACAGGUGGCACAAGAUGUUCAAAGAAGGCCGGGAGGAGGUCGCCGACGAAGCCCGCCAAGGACGCAACGUCGCGAAACGACGACAGUGUGACUCGUGUGCGCCAGUUGCUGAAUUCUGACCGUCGAAUGAGUGUUCGGUUAAUGUCGGAUUUAUUGAACAUACCGAAAAGUACGAGACUUCUACACAGGAGCUCACAAACAGACACGUUGUGACCUACCCAGGGCACGGAGAGAACUCAGCGCGGAACCGUUGGAAAGCUUAAACUUCCCCCAUCCUAUCCAAAUCGGUCUGACCGCUCUGCGACAUAUAGUCGCGUCAAAAAAAAUGCGACGCAUUACUUUUGGGACAUACCAUGUAAUAUCAUCAGAUUCUCUCUGCGGAAUCAUCGACCCUUAUUGAUCAUCCCUUGGCAAAUAACAUCCCGUGAGAAAUGACAUCCACGGUCCACGGAAAUGAGAUCGAUGACGCUUGCCGGAGCGUGCCUAUUGUUCGUGACGGUCGCAAAGUGGAGCAAAGUCGAGGCAUAACGGAAUGGUCAUUUGCGAGAUGAACUCCGGGCAGGCCGUUAAAAGGAGGGGUGGGGGCUCGCCUAUUAAUCCACCGAGACAUCGGUAAAUCAUUGCCGGUCCAGCGACUAUCGGGCGGAAAUUCUCGCGACUACGGCACGGCUCGUAUCUCGAGUCGAUUUCCACGCUCGUUUGCGAUAUCUCUCUUUCUCCGCGGCGAUAUCUCUCCGGGAAUCCGGCAAUCUUUGUCCGCGAGAGGCACAAUUUUAUUACGUCAAUCACGUUCCGGAUGAAAUCGAGCGAAGGGGCAUCGGGAUCUCGGGCGGAGAUUCGAUUUUGAGCGAGAAAGUCCCGGCACACGUUCGGAAAUGUGUUUCUUAGAAAGUUACGAUUUAUAUGCAUUGCGACCGGCCACGCGAACGCUAUACGAGAAUACAAACUGGAGUACAAUAUUUAAGGGGAUCCUAAAGCCGCUGGCGGGCUCGAUCAGUGCCGAUUUCCACUGCACAACGUUCGUCCUCUUCGAGUGGAAUCGGGACGGACCGAUUUCGGAGCGUUCGACGGAUGCAG
Molecule: long non-coding RNA, 2541 nt
Organism: Vollenhovia emeryi
Lineage: Eukaryota; Metazoa; Arthropoda; Insecta; Hymenoptera; Formicidae
Exons: 3
Source: RefSeq, a predicted model, not a curated record